UGGGGAAUAUUGGACAAUGGGCGCAAGCCUGAUCCAGCCAUGCCGCGUGAGUGAUGAAGGCCUUAGGGUUGUAAAGCUCUUUUAGCAGGGAAGAUAAUGACGGUACCUGCAGAAAAAGCCCCGGCUAACUUCGUGCCAGCAGCCGCGGUAAUACGAAGGGGGCUAGCGUUGCUCGGAAUUACUGGGCGUAAAGCGCACGUAGGCGGACUCUUAAGUCGGGGGUGAAAUCCUGGAGCUCAACUCCAGAACUGCCUUCGAUACUGGGAGUCUUGAGUUCGGGAGAGGUGAGUGGAACUGCGAGUGUAGAGGUGAAAUUCGUAGAUAUUCGCAAGAACACCAGUGGCGAAGGCGGCUCACUGGCCCGAUACUGACGCUGAGGUGCGAAAGCGUGGGGAGCAAACA
This 402-nucleotide ribosomal RNA is filed under the name uncultured bacterium. RNAcentral describes it as "bacterial SSU rRNA". It matches the Rfam family "Bacterial small subunit ribosomal RNA", at positions 355 to 774 of the family's 1533-position model. The record is from RNAcentral.